CUCGAAUAAUAAUUUAUUUUUUCAUGAAUUAAGUGACAUGAAAACAUGCAACACUAAAAAACGGGUUGUCAUACUGAAAAUUCAUUACGAAUACCGCGCUUGCCAUCAUAGAGUUCGUCCGUAAUACCGCUCGGUUUUUGGACGUCGCGUUACUCCUUGCCCCUGCAGCGACAACAGCUAUUGCAUUUUGAAAGCAAGCGCCUUUUUCACUCACCUUUUCUUAAUUCUUCUAAUUUUUAUUUUUUACCGCGGUUUUGUGAAAUUUGUGUAAAAUCGACUUACGAGGUUUUGCUAGAGGGCCAUCCAUAAAUCGAUC
Cinara cedri is the source of this 316-nucleotide non-coding RNA. Lineage: Eukaryota; Metazoa; Arthropoda; Insecta; Hemiptera; Aphididae. The record is from the annotation of a GenBank genome assembly.